This 458-nucleotide ribosomal RNA is filed under the name Sigara sp. YT-2009. RNAcentral's name for it is "partial 16S ribosomal RNA". The record is from RNAcentral. Lineage: Eukaryota; Metazoa; Arthropoda; Insecta; Hemiptera; Corixidae.
GUGUUUAACUGAUCUGUGUUGUCCGCGGUAUUCGGGGGGUGCAAAGGUAGCAUGUAUUUGUCUUUUAAUUGAAGGCUUGUAUGAAUGGUUGGACGAGAAAAUUACUUUCUUUAUAAUAAAAUUAUUAAUUUUAUUUUUUAGUUAAAAAGCUAAAAUUUUGUUGUAGGACGAGAAGACCCUAUAGAACUUUAUAUUUAUUUAAAUAUUAAUGUUUUUGGAUUAAUAAUAUGUUGUAUUUUUAUAAAUAUUUUGUUGGGGCGACAAGAAAAUUUAUUUAACUUUUUUUUAUUAAUUUCAUUAAUUAAUGUAUAAAUGAUCCUUUAUUAUGGAUAAUUAGAAUAAGUUACCUUAGGGAUAACAGCGUAAUUUUUUUGGAGAGUUCUUAUCGAUAAAAAAGUUUGCGACCUCGAUGUUGAAUUAAGAUUAGAUAAGGGGGUAGAAUUUCUUAUUUCUAGGUC